AUUGAACGCUGGCGGCAGGCCUAACACAUGCAAGUCGAGCGGAUGAAGGGAGCUUGCUCCUGGAUUCAGCGGCGGACGGGUGAGUAAUGCCUAGGAAUCUGCCUGGUCGUGGGGGAUAAUGUCCGGAAACGGGCGCUAAUACCGCAUACGUCCAGAGGGAGCAAGUGGGGGGUCUUCGGACCUCUCGCUCUCAUAUGAGCCUAGGUCGGAUUAGCUAGUUGGUGGGGUAAAGGGCUACCAAGGCGACGAUCCGUAACUGGUCUGAGAGGAUGAUCAGUCACAUUGGAAGUGAGACAGGGUCCAGACUCCUACGGGAGGCAGCAGCGGGGAAUAUUGGGCAAUGGGGGAAAGCCUGAUCCAGCCAUGCCGCGUGUGUGAAGAAGGUCUUCGGAUUGUAAAGCACUUUAAGUUGGGAGAAAGGGCAGUAAGUUAAUACCUUGCUGUAUUGACGUUACCAGCAGAAUAAGCACCGGCUAACUUCGUG
This 484-nucleotide ribosomal RNA is filed under the name uncultured bacterium. RNAcentral describes it as "partial 16S ribosomal RNA". It matches the Rfam family "Bacterial small subunit ribosomal RNA", at positions 30 to 507 of the family's 1533-position model. The record is from RNAcentral.